GGGGGGGCGCGUCCCGAGACACGCGGCGUCAGGUCCGGGUGCCCGCGGCAAAAACCCGCCGCCCGGGACCCGGGCAUCUCGCCAAGCAGGCGGCGGUACGGGGCUGGGCGAGAGAACUCAGAAUUGAGGCCUCGCACCAUCCGUGCGGGGGUCGCGUCCUCAGCCCCAACCGCGGCACCCACGAGGGACAGAGGGCUACGCGCCGCGCAGGACGUGCGCGCCAAGUUCCUUCGCGCCGAGGAAGGCGGGUCUGAUCUCCCUGCUCCUCGGGGGGGUGGGGGUAUGCGCUCCCUUAGGGUGCAGGGAACCCCUGGGGCCCUUCAGCCCACUCCCCGGGCCACUUUGAUCGCGCCGAAGCCAACGGUCCCGACAGCCGGGUAAGGAGAAACUCGCACUGGGGAGGACCGCGGGGCGCCCCGGCUUCCCGGCCUCGAUCCCUGCCCUCCCAGCCUGAAAGACCCCCGGGGGCUACGAGGGACGUGAGGAGAGACCGCAGCGCCCUUCCCGCCAGAAACCGCCUCCCCUUCCCCAUCCCCGGCGCCCACCUGGGAUGUAGACGUCCGCGCGGUUCUCAUCCGGGAGUGCAGUCCAGGUGUCUUAAAUCGAGGAUGAGACCACGCCGGGGGAAAAAGUUUCCUAAGGUGGAAUAGAAAAGGCACCAGGAAACUUGGGAACGAGCAUGCGCCCUGCAACAUAACGGUGUCAACAAGCUCGCUACCUGUCCGACCGGUUCCGGCAGCCGCUCGGCCUGUCCCAGCCCUUCCCGCGGCAUGAAUGUUUGCAAAAUAAUUUAACGUCUCAGCCCACCCUCCUCUUUUUUAAAAAAGGAGAACAUUUUUUAAUCGACCCACGCCCCCUUCCCCCAUCCCAAGAACCUCUGGACCAACUCUAAGACAAGCAAGCCAGAAAAAGGCCGGAUUCCUCCUCGGGUCGUUCCCUGGGACUGCUGAAAUCUCGGUUGUUCGAAGACGAAGUUGCCAGGAACCUCCUAAGGACUCUUAGCUGGUAAUUUGGGGACUUAAGCUCCCUAUCAUCUGCAUCAGCCCCUAAGUCAAUCAGUAAAUUUAUUAAUAAAUUUUAAAAAUUUUGA
This is a long non-coding RNA of Heterocephalus glaber (naked mole-rat), 1090 nucleotides long. RefSeq lists it as uncharacterized. Lineage: Eukaryota; Metazoa; Chordata; Mammalia; Rodentia; Bathyergidae. The record is from RefSeq and is a predicted model, not a curated record.